GGCCUCGUAACUCUGUUGGCUAGAGCGUUGGCUGUACUAAAGCCUUCCUCUUGCAGGCGUGGGUUCGAAUCCCACCGAGGCCG
This 83-nucleotide transfer RNA is filed under the name Schistocephalus solidus. It matches the Rfam family "tRNA". From Rfam's summary of the family: Transfer RNA (tRNA) molecules are approximately 80 nucleotides in length. Lineage: Eukaryota; Metazoa; Platyhelminthes; Cestoda; Diphyllobothriidea; Diphyllobothriidae. The record is from Rfam by way of RNAcentral.